GUGCCAGCAGCCGCGGUAAUACGUAGGGAGCAAGCGUUGUCCGGAUUUACUGGGCGUAAAGGGUGCGUAGGCGGCUAUGCAAGUCAGAUGUGAAAUCUAUGGGCUCAACCCAUAGCCUGCAAUUGAAACUGCGUAGCUUGAGUGAAGGAGAGGAAGGUGGAAUUCCCGGUGUAGCGGUGAAAUGCGUAGAGAUCGGGAGGAACACCAGUGGCGAAGGCGGCCUACUGGGUUUUAACUGACGCGGAGGCAUGAA
This 253-nucleotide ribosomal RNA is filed under the name uncultured bacterium. RNAcentral describes it as "partial 16S rRNA". It matches the Rfam family "Bacterial small subunit ribosomal RNA", at positions 505 to 757 of the family's 1533-position model. The record is from RNAcentral.